RNAcentral lists this long non-coding RNA (6473 nucleotides) under Capsella rubella. RNAcentral describes it as "long non-coding RNA (CRUB_LNC003027)". Lineage: Eukaryota; Viridiplantae; Streptophyta; Magnoliopsida; Brassicales; Brassicaceae. The record is from RNAcentral.
AAUUAUCGAAAAUAUUGAAUAGAACUUACCUGGAUGCGAUCUAGGCCCAAUCGAUGUUCUCUGAACUACGUCUUGAUCUACUUCAGGGGUCUUGUCAGGUGCAUGUUUGUUUGUUGGUUUCUUGAAGUAGAUGGUUUCUUGGAGUUUCUCUUGGGUAGCUUGAUCAGUAUCUUGAAGCUCUUCCAAGUCCUUGAUAUCUUGUUCUUGAUCUUCACUCUCUCGAUCACUCUCGAAGGUGAAGCUUGUUUUGCUCGUCUCUUGUGACUCCAUUGUCUUCUCUUGGAUUCUAGAGGUUUCUUGACCUGUCAAAGGAGAAUUCAUACCUGGGGAAAUGGUAUGUUCAAGACUCAUUUGGGUGAAUGCUUCAGCAAGCUCUUCCUCAGCGAUGGGAUCAUAUCCGUCAUGAUGGAGUAACGGUGGUACAGACCAGUUGACGUAGUUCAGCUCUAGUGAGCUCACAAUGUCUUGUACAGCUAGAUUGAACCUCUUUCUAAGUUGUUUAGACUUUGAACGAGUCAUGGGACCUACUGGGACGACUGGUACAGGGUGUGGUACAGGAUCUGGUACUUGAUCUAGUUCAGCGGAUUGGACAGGAUAACCGAUGUCCGCAUCAUUCCCUCCCUCUUCAAAAGGUUUUGCCCUCAAAACUGAAUCUCCUGAAUCAUAAGCAGACAAGUCAGCAACAUUAAAAGUAUGAGAAAUUUUUACCUCAUUAGGUAGCUCCAAACGGUAAGCAUUGUCAUUGAUCUUCUCGAGGAUCUUGAAUGGUCCGUCGCCUCUUGGUGAUAGCUUGGAUNNNNNNNNNNNNNNNNNNNNNNNNNNNNNNNNNNNNNNNNNNNNNNNNNNNNNNNNNNNNNNNNNNNNNNNNNNNNNNNNNNNNNNNNNNNNNNNNNNNNAAAUAACACUUCUUUUCUUCCUCGAUCAGCUUUGCGUUUGUUGUCGACGGCCUUCUUCUCCAAGUUGUCUUUUGCUUUUUCAUGCAACUUCUUUAUGACUUCUCCUCGUUUUAACCCAACUUGACAAGCCUGUUCUAUCUGAGGUAAAGGUGCUAAAUCUAUGGGAGAUAAAGGGUUAGUUCCAUAGACUAUCUCGAAGGGAGAUAGUUUUGUAGCCGAGUGAACGACACGAUUAUAAGCAAACUCAAUAAAAGGAAUGCAAUCAAGCCAUGUAGCCAUAUUCCUACCAAGAGUGGCCCUAAGUAAAGUUGAGAGAGUUCGGUUUACCACUUCGAUUUGUCCAUCCAUUUGAGGAUGACAAGUUGUAGAGAAUAAAAGCUUGGUACCUAACUUUCUCCAAAGUGUCUUCCAAAAGUGACUCAAGAACUUGGUGUCACGAUCGGAGACGAUGGUUCUCGGGAUACCAUGGAGGCGCACCACUUCCUUGAAGAACAAAUCCGCGGUUUGAGUAGCGUCAUUGGUCUUGUCACAUGGGAUGAAGUGUGCCAUCUUGGAGAACCGGUCCACGACGACAAAGAUUGAAUCCUUGUGUCUAAUCUUAGGCAAUCCUAAGACAAAGUCCAUAGAAAUAUCUACCCAAGGGGAGUUAGGAAUAGGUAAUGGUAAAUAUAGACCAUGAGGAUGUAACCUGGAUUUUGCCUUGUGGCAAACAAUGCAUCGAGAACAAAAUCUCUCCACGUCCUUCUUGAGAUGGGGCCAAAAGAAAUGAUCCAUGACCAUUGCCAAGGUUUUGUCAACACCAAAGUGACCCAUCAACCCUCCACCAUGUGCUUCGGUGAGUAUCAACUCUCGCAUUGAACCUUGAGGGAUGCACAACCGCUUGUCUUUGAACAAGAACCCAUCUUGCAAGUAGAAUGCUUGAUAAGCUUCUUUGCCAUGCUCUUUGUAGCACUCUCCUAAUUCUGGAUCAUCCUAGUACAACUCCUUGAUGUGCUCAAAACCCAUUACUUUAGCCUCCAUUCUAGCUAUAAGGGCAUGUCUCCUCGACAAAGCAUCAGUUACCACGUUCUCCUUUCCCUUCUUGUACUUGAUCACAUAUGGGAACGUCUCGAUGAACUCCAACCACUUUGCAUGUCUCCUCUUGAGUGAAGUCUGACCCUUGAGAUGCUUCAGAGUUUCAUGAUCGGUGUGAAUGAUGAAUUCCUUGGACAACAAGUAGUGUUGCCAUGUCUCAAGUGCUCGUACUAAGGCAUAAAGCUAUUUGUCGUAGGUCGGGUAGUUCAAUGCUGCUCCACUUAACUUUUCACUGAAAAACGCGACUGGUCUUUUCCUCUGAUGUAGUACAGCUCCAAUUCCCAAACCUGAUGCAUCACACUCCACUUCAAAAUCUGGAAGUGCUAAAACUGGUGCUUGUGUAAGCUUCUCUUUCAGCGUGUUGAAUGACUGUUCUUGGGCUUCUCCCCAUGAGAAUGGUACAUUUUUCUUCAUUACAGCAGUCAUUGGUGCAGCCACUGUGCUGAAGUCUCUGACAAACCUCCUGUAGAAGCUUGCUAGUCCAUGAAAACUGCGAACAUGUCCAAUGGAUGUUGCAGUAGGCCAUUCACGGAUCGCCUUGAUCUUUUCUUCAUCUACCUGUAGGCCAUUUUUACUCACUACAAAACCUAAGAACACACACUUGUCAGUACAAAAUGAGCACUUCUUUAGGUUAGCAUAAAGGCCUUCCUUCCGAAGCGUUUUCAGAAUUAACUCUAAGUGCUUAGUGUGAUCAGAAUAGCAUUUACUAUAAAUAAGUAUGUCAUCAAAGUAGACAACAACAAAUUUACCAAUAAAUGACCUUAGAACCUGGUUCAUCAAUCGCAUGAAGGUGCUUGGUGCAUUGGUUAGUUCGAAGGGCAUAACGAGCCAUUCACAGAGACAUUGCUUGGUCUUGAAUGCGGUCUUCCACUCGUCGCCUUCUCUCAUUCGGACUUGGUGAUAACCGCUUCGCAAGUCAAUUUUGGAGAAGAUGAUUGCACCACUUAGCUCGUCUAGCCUCGGAAUAGGAUGUCGGUAUUUGAUGGUGAUGUUGUUGAUUGCUCGGCAGUCUACACACAUCCUCCAUGUGCCAUCCUUCUUUGGUACCAAGAGAACUGGUACAGCACACGGGCUAAGGCUCUCCCUGAUGUACCCUUUGUCCAUCAAGUCGCGCACUUGCUUUUCUAACUCCUUAGACUCCUCCGGAUUCAUUCGGUAAGCUGGUUUGUUAGGUAGAGCAGAACCUGGUACAAGAUCGAUUUGAUGUUCGAUGCCACGAAUAGGGGGUAGUCCUGGUGGAAUCUCCUCCGGAAAAACAUCGUUGUAUUGAUCUAGUACAGCUCGUACUUCAGCAGGUAGUUCAACUUCACCUAAACCUGUACUUAGACAUUCUUUCAAAACCAUUAGUAGCACGGUGCCAUGAGCACUCAUGGUUUUACAAAUUUGACUAGAAACUUAAGUAAAGGCUAGAAGUUCUUACCUCGACCUCUUUGUUCAUGUGUUUUUGCAACUCAUGAACUUCUGAUGGACUUAGAGGGGCAAGGUUAAACUUACGGUCAUUGUGGGUGAAAGAGUAGUGGUUUGUGCGACCAUCAUGAUUAGUAGCUCGAUCGAACUGCCAUGGUCUUCCAAGGAGAAGAUGUCCGGCUCUCAUUGGAACUACAUCACAAAUAACUUGGUCCUGGUACUUUCCAACGCUGAAUGAUACAGUCACUUGUUCAGCGAUCUUUAGCUCAGNNNNNNNNNNNNNNNNNNNNNNNNNNNNNNNNNNNNNNNNNNNNNNNNNNNNNNNNNNNNNNNNNNNNNNNNNNNNNNNNNNNNNNNNNNNNNNNNNNNNAUCGUUCAGCCACCUAAGUUUGUAUGGUCUCGGAUGCUUUCUCUUUUGAAGACCUAACCUGUGUACCAUAUACUUGCUAGCAACAUUAGUGCAAGAACCUCCAUCAAUAACCAAAUUACAUACCUUGUUAUUUUUUGUGCACCGAGUGUGAAAGAUAUUUUCUCUUUGAACUUUCUCCUCAGGGUUGAUAUAAACGCUCAGCAUACGUCGGAUCACAAGAAGUUCUCCUACAUCAGGAUACUCCACAUCUUCCUCUGGAUCAUUCAGGUUCUCAUCUUGCUCAUCUUGAGACUCGUAGUCUCCACUAGGAGUGAGAAUCAUCACUCGUUGGUUCGAACACUCUCUCGCCAUGUGUCCUCUACCUUGACAUUUAAAACAAGUAAUGUGACGGGUACGAGAUUUACUAGUGCUAGGAAACUUACCUGGUUCAGGCUUGGUGAUCUUAGGCGCUUCACUAGACUUAUUCUUGAAUCGAGAAUCGUUGUCUAUAGCUUUGUCUUUGUCCAUGCCUCGGUUGUUACUUGCGUUCCAAGGUGUACUACUUCUGGCACGAUUGCUCAAAGACAUCUUACGCUUGAUUUGUUGCUCUACUUGUACAGCCUUGUGAAGUAGUUCAUGUAUGCUGCUAUAGUUGGACGUCUCCACCUUUCGGGCUAUACGCUCUUGCAACCCGUCAAUGAAUUGAGGCAUCAAUGACUCGCUGGAUUCUUCUAACUCCAAGGAGUUCAUGAGCUUCUCAAACUCCUCAAAGUACUCGUCCACGGUCCUUGUUCCCUGAGACAAUUUUCUAAAACGUUUUUGUAAGUCUCUAUGAUAGUGAUCAGGAACAUACCUCAACCUCAAGAGGUACUUCAUGUCUUCCCAAUUGUUGAUGGGAGCAAAUCUUUGCCUCCUCCUCUCGGCCACUGUCCUAUCCCACCAAGAUAAGGCGUUGUCGGUGAGUUGUGUCGAUGCUAAGGCUACCUUUCGGAGUUCUCCAUGUCCAUAACAUUGGAAUAUGUAUUCCAUCCUUUUCUCCCAAUCCAUGUAAACCUCUGGAUUUGAUUUUCCUGCAAAAGUAGGAGGUGUUAGUUUAACAUCUCGGUUCUGGUCACGUGUGUCAACCUCUCGAGCGCGGUUCCUCAUCAAGGGAUCCUCUCUCCGCUGAUGUUGACGCCUUAAUGGAUCAGGUGGUGGAUCAUCGUCGUCAUCCGGGUCAAGGGAGUCUUCUUCCUCUUCACGGGCGUUCCUUCGAACCUGAACUGGUUCAGCUUCAGCUCUGGGCUGAGGCUGCUUCAAACGGCCUAUCCUUUCGCCAAACCCUUCUAGUUGUUUCGAUAGGGUUUGCAUCAUGGCAUCUUGGGGUAUGGCUGCGUGUUCUCCCAUUAUGAUUGUCUAAAAGUAUCCUGCUCUUAAACAAAAACAACAAAGAAAAUCAGCGUACCACAGAAAUCGAAAAUGAAAACUUAAGAAACAAGAAACUGAUGCACGUGCUGAAUUAGACAAGAAAAUGAAAUUUUUUUUUUUUUUUUAAAAUAAGUUUUAAGAUACUUAAAAAAUACUAGCUAACAAAGAUAAUGACACAAAAAUUUUAAAAAAAGAAAUAAUUUUUUUUUUUUUUUUUUGACGAAAACCUUGAACUAGUACAGAAACUAAAUCAAAGACUGAAACAGGCGAUUAAGGAAAGAAUAGUGACGAUUUUUUAUUAUUAUUAUUAUUUUUUUUGUUAAGGAAAAUAAAACUAAACAACCUAUAGAAACAAGGCUGCAGCAAACUAGGGUUCUUAAUUUUUUUUUUUUGAAAAUUAAAUAAAACAAAACUAGAAUUCAAAACUAUCAAAAGAAGAUGGAAAAGGUAAACCUGGCAAGGGAAGAGCGUGAGGCUCUGCUACCAGAUGAUAUAAGACUCGAUGGUGAGCUUGUAUUAGGAUAGAUAUGAUGGCUUCACAAGAUGGCAAUCGCUUCUCUCUUGUGAAGGAAAGAUGGUCGUUGAUGUAGAUCUGACACGAUGGCGGUCGCUUCUCUCGUGUGGGAUCGAAUGAAGGGGAAGUGCUGGCGGAUUGAAAUACACCACUGAGAUGUGAUUGGUCUCUGAUACAGUACACGAAUUCAGCCUUGUGGAAUCACACACACAAGACAAAGAACAAGCUUUUCUCUUAAGAACACUUAAGGAGAAAAAUUGAAGAAAAUUCGGUUUCUUUAUUGAUAAUAGGGUGAAAAAUCGUACAACUGCUGCAGGGGGACUUUAUAAGAGUCCAUCAGCUAUCCCUAGGGCCAAAAAUAAAUGCAAAGAAAUACAAAAGGAAACAAAUAAAAAGCAAACACAAAACUCAUUGUUUUUGGAAAGAAAAUGACAAAAUAAAGAAACUAAUUGUGCACACUUAAACUCACUUGAAGGGCACGUAUUCUAGCCGUUGUUGGGGCUUAGUGGACCUGCAAAUAUCGAAAAUACUGAAUAGAACUUACCUGGAUGCGAUCUAGGCCCAAUUGAUGUUCUCUGAACUACGUCUUGAUCUACUUCAGGGGUCUUGUCAGGUGCAUGUUUGUUUGUUGGUUUCUUGAAGUAGAUGGUUUCUUGGAGUUUCUCUUGGGUAGCUUGAUCAGUCUCUUGAAGCUCUUCCAAGUCCUUGAUGUCUUGUUCUUGAUCUUCACUCUCUCGAUCACUCUCGAAGGUGAAGCUUGUUUUGCUCGUCUCUUGUGACUCCAUUGUCUUCUCUUGGAUUCUAGAGGUUUCUUGACCUGUCAAAG